CUCGAAGUCGAAACGAUCGCGCAUUAACAUGCGAGGAAAGUCCGGGCACCAUAGAGACGCGCUCCUGCUAACGGCAGGCUAGAGCAAUCUAAGGGAAAGUGGCACAGAAACAAAACUGCCAAUGUCCGGUUCAGUUAGGGAGGAAAAGAGUGAACCCAAGAUACGCACUAAUUUGUUAUCUCACAUCCAAGGGUAGGCAAUCUGUCCUCUUGGAAUCCACCCAGUCUCAUCUCGCAAGGGAAGAAGCUGUGGAGUGGCUGACGUCCAACUUGGGACUUUGUCCGCCAGAUCUUGAAGACUGGUGGAUAGAGUCAGUAUCCUGACCGUGUCGGGGACUUCGGUCCCCACCCCCUAACUGAAUCGGAACAGGCAAAGGUGAAAAGAGUGAGGUAAGAGCUCACAAUCGCCUCUAGUAAUAGAGCGAGUAGCUAAACCCAGCGUGGUGCAAGUUGAGUGGGCCAAUAUUUAAGUCUUAAGUUCAAAGUUCCCAAAAGGAAUAUAGAGCUCCACUUCGGUCUCGAAGUAUAGAUAUUGGUCUCAACGCAUUAGAUAGAUGAUCGU
Molecule: RNase P RNA, 561 nt
Filed under: Candidatus Berkelbacteria bacterium
Lineage: Bacteria; Candidatus Berkelbacteria
Description: partial RNase P RNA component class A
Rfam family: Bacterial RNase P class A
About the family: Ribonuclease P (RNase P) is a ubiquitous endoribonuclease, found in archaea, bacteria and eukarya as well as chloroplasts and mitochondria. Its best characterised activity is the generation of mature 5'-ends of tRNAs by cleaving the 5'-leader elements of precursor-tRNAs. Cellular RNase Ps are ribonucleoproteins.
Source: RNAcentral